Molecule: ribosomal RNA, 265 nt
Filed under: uncultured bacterium
Lineage: Bacteria
Description: partial 16S ribosomal RNA
Rfam family: Bacterial small subunit ribosomal RNA
Source: RNAcentral
GUCCACGCCCUAAACGAUGCGAACUGGACGUUGGGUGCAAUUGAGCAUUCAGUGUCGAAGCUAACGCGUUAAGUUCGCCGCCUGGGGAGUACGGUCGCAAGACUGAAACUCAAAGGAAUUGACGGGGGCCCCGCACAAGCGGUGGAGUAUGUGGUUUAAUUCGAUGCAACGCGAAGAACCUUACCUGGUCUUGACAUCCACGGAACUGCCCAGAGAUGGGCGGGUGCCUUCGGGAACCGUGAGACAGGUGCUGCAUGGCUGUCGU